This 468-nucleotide ribosomal RNA is filed under the name uncultured bacterium. Its description in RNAcentral is "partial 16S ribosomal RNA". It matches the Rfam family "Bacterial small subunit ribosomal RNA", at positions 28 to 507 of the family's 1533-position model. The record is from RNAcentral.
GACGAACGCUGGCGGCGUGCUUAACACAUGCAAGUCGAACGGAAAGGCCCUGCUUUUGUGGGGUGCUCGAGUGGCGAACGGGUGAGUAACACGUGAGUAACCUGCCCUUGACUUUGGGAUAACUUCAGGAAACUGGGGCUAAUACCGGAUAGGAGCUCCUGCUGCAUGGUGGGGGUUGGAAAGUUUCGGCGGAUGGGGAUGGACUCGCGGCUUAUCAGCUUGUUGGUGGGGUAGUGGCUUACCAAGGCUUUGACGGGUAGCCGGCCCGAGAGGGUGACCGGCAACAUUGGGCCGGAGAUGAGGCCCAGACCACUAUGGUAGGCAGCACUGGGGAAGAGUGCACAAUGGGCGGAAGGCUGAUGCAGCAACGCCGCGUGGGGGAUGACGGCAUUCGGGUUGUAAACCGAUUUCGCCUGUGACGAAGCGUGAGUGACGGUAAUGGGUAAAGAAGCACCGGCUAACUACGUG